UGAAAUCGUGCGCUUGAUGUCUUGGAAAGUAAACUAAAUAAUACUUUUAUGAGAAAUCGUUUAUCAUCACUUCGCCGAGGUCGCUUGCGGGCGAGGCGCUGGGUCUGAUACUUUAUGAACUAACCUUAAUUCAAUGAGAUUUUGUAUUUAAGAGCCAUCGCCUCGCCCGCAAGCGACCUCGGCGAAGUGAAGAUAAACGAUUUCUGAUACAAGAAUUGUGUAUUUAGUAUACUUUCCAAGACAUCAACUGAACGAUUUCAUAUAAUACCGCCGAGGUCACUUGUGGGCGAGGCGCUAGAUUUGAUAUCAUGUAGUCAUAAAAUUAGUUGAGUUGAGGUUCGUAUUCAUAAUGUAUCAAUUCAAGCGCCUCGCCCGCAAGCGACCUCGGCGGUAUUGAUGAUAUCGUGCACUUGAUGUCUUGGAAAGUAAACUAAAUAAUACUUUUAUGAGAAAUCGUCUAUGCUGGAAUUGAUACAUUAUGAAUACGAACCUCAACUCAACUAAUUUUAUGACUACAUGAACAAAUCUAGCGCCUCGCCCGCAAGCGACCUCGGCGAAGUGAAGAUAAACAAUUUCUCAUACAAGAAUUGUGUACUUAGUUUACUUUCCAACACAUCAAGUGAACGAUUUCAUCUAAUACCGCAGAGGUCGCUUGCGGGCGAGGCGGUGAAACUGGUAUCAUGGCUCCUCAAUGCAAAAUCUCAUUAAAGUUUGUGUUCAUAAAGUAUCAGACCUAGCGCCUGGCCCGCAAGCGACCUCGGCGAAGUGAAGAUAAACGAUUUCUCAUUCAAAUAUGGUGUACUUAGUUUACUUUCCAAAACAUCAAGAGAACGAUUUUAUGUAAUAUCGCCGAGGUCGCUUGCGGGCGGGAUUGAUAUAUUGAUUCAAAACCUCAAAAACAUAUUAAUUGAGGACUGGAAUAGAAUUUCAGCGGAAACCACAAAAAAGUUGGUAUGUUCUAGAAAAAUAGAAUCAAUGCUGUAAUUGCAAGUGUUAGAAAAACUGUGUUUUGUCCGUUAUUGUUAAUAUAUGUUGAACACACACGCCAUUUAUUCUGCAGUUGUUUUAUGUGUUACUUCUAACUUGCAUAAAUUGUGUAUGCAACUUGCAAUAAAAUCUGUGUCAUUGUAUGUCGCUGCAGUAGUGCCUGUUUUGGAUAUAUUUGUCCCUGCAUUAAUAAAAUAAAAGAGCAGAUAGAAAAGAAAUAUCUUUGACAUCUUGACUUGUGACAUCUUUAUCUAUUGGGAGGUGUCCUUUUUGUAGUCCUUUUUGAAGCCUUGAACUUUUUUAUGGCUAACUUCUUCAUAAA
This is a non-coding RNA of Onthophagus taurus, 1309 nucleotides long. The record is from RefSeq and is a predicted model, not a curated record. Lineage: Eukaryota; Metazoa; Arthropoda; Insecta; Coleoptera; Scarabaeidae.